RNAcentral lists this ribosomal RNA (497 nucleotides) under uncultured bacterium. RNAcentral's name for it is "partial 16S ribosomal RNA". It matches the Rfam family "Bacterial small subunit ribosomal RNA", at positions 28 to 507 of the family's 1533-position model. The record is from RNAcentral.
GAUGAACGCUGGCGGCGUGCCUAAUACAUGCAAGUCGAGCGAACAGACGAGGAGCUUGCUCCUCUGACGUUAGCGGCGGACGGGUGAGUAACACGUGGAUAACCUACCUAUAAGACUGGGAUAACUUCGGGAAACCGGAGCUAAUACCGGAUCAUAUAUUGAACCGCAUGGUUCAAUAGUGAAAGACGGUUUUGCUGUCACUUAUAGAUGGAUCCGCGCCGCAUUAGCUAGUUGGUAAGGUAACGGCUUACCAAGGCAACGAUGCGUAGCCGACCUGAGAGGGGGAUCGGCCACACUGGAACUGAGACACGGUCCAGACUCCUACGGGAGGCAGCAGUAGGGAAGCUUCCGCAAUGGGCGAAAGCCUGACGGAGCAACGCCGCGUGAGUGAUGAAGGUCUGCGGAUCGUAAAACUCUGUUAUUAGGGAAGAACAAAUGUGUAAGUAACUAUGCACGUCUUGACGGUACCUAAUCAGAAAGCCACGGCUAACUACGUG